UAUGGGGCAGCUAUGGGGCAGGGUUAUAGGGCAGCUAUGGGGCAGAUGUGGGGUAUCUAUGGGGUAUCUAUGGGGCAGAUAUGGGGCAGCUAUGGGGCAGCUAUGGGGUGUCUAUGGGUCACUAUGGGUCUCUAUGGGCCUCUAUAGGGCAGCUAUGGGUCUCUAUAGGGUCUCUAUAAGGCAGCUAUGGGUCACUAUAGGGCUCUAUGGGUCUCUAUGGGGCAACUAUGGGUCACUAUAGGGCUCUAUGGGUCUCUAUGGGGCAGCUAUGGGUCACUAUAGGGCUCUAUGGGCCUCUAUGGGGCAGCUAUGGGUCUCUAUGGGUCACUAUGGGUCUCUAUGGGGCAACUAUGGGUCACUAUAGGGCUCUAUGGGUCUCUAUGGGGCAGCUAUGGGUCACUAUAGGGCUCUAUGGGUCUCUAUGGGGCAGCUAUGGGGUAUCUAUGGGGCAGCUAUGGGGUAUCUAUGGGGUGUCUAUGGGGCUCUAUGGGGUGUCUAUGGGUCUCUAUGGGGCUCUAUGGGUGUCUAUGGGGUGUCUAUGGGGCUCUAUGGGGUGUCUAUGGGGCUCUAUGGAGUCUCUAUAGGGUCUAUGGGGUGUCUAUGGGGAUCUAUGGGUGUCUAUGGGGUUCUAUGGGGCUCUAUGGGGUCUCUAUGGGGCUCUAUGGGGUGUCUAUGGGGCUCUAUGGGUGUCUAUGGGGCUCUAUGGGGUGUCUAUGGGGCUCUAUGGGUGUCUAUGGGGGCUCUAUGGGGUGUCUAUGGGGUUUAUGGGACUCUAGUAGGGCUUCGGUAGGGCUCGUAUGGGGUACUAUGGGAUUCUUUGGGGCCUCUAUGGGCUCUAUGGAGUUCUAUGGGGCAUAUGGGGCUCUAUGGGGUGUCUAUGGGGUUCUAUGGGACUCUAUAGGGCUCGGUAGGGCUCUAUGGGGUAUCUAUGGGAUUCUUUGGGGCUCUAUGGGGUCUCUAUGGGGCUCUAUGGAGUUCUCCGGGGCUCUUAAUGGGGCAUAUGGGUCUCUAUGGGGGUGUCUAGGGGUUUCUAUGGGACUCUAUACGGGCUCGGUAAGGGAUCUAUGGGGUAAUCUAUGGUGAUUCUUUGGGGCUCUUAUGGGGUCUCUUUGGCUCUAUGGGCCUCUAUGGGGUCUCUAGGGCUUUAUAGGUCUCUAUGGGGUUCUCGUAUGGGGUUGCUAUGGACGCUUUAUGUCGGGCUCUAUGUGGGCCGUCUAUGGGGUGUGUUCUGGGGUUCUAUGGGGGCUCAUGGGUGUCUAUGGGGGGCUCUAUGCGGGUGUCUAUGGGGCUCUAUGGGGUGUCUAUGGGGCUCUGUGGGUCACUAUAGGCUCUAUGGGCAAUAUGGGGUCUCUAUAGGGCUAUGGGGGCUCUAUGGGGUGUCUAUGGGCUCUAAUGGGAUCUCUCUGGGGCGCGGAAUGGACGGAUGUUCGUUGCAACAGAAGGGCGGCCGUCAACCAGUGCCUGCGCACCUUACAGUGGGUCAAUAAUUGAGGUUAUGGGGUUCUAUGGGGCUCUAUGGGACAAUAUGGGGUCUCUAUGCGGCUCUAUAGGGUCUCUAUGGGGGCAGGGGGGCAAUAUGGGGCUCUAUGGGACAAUAUGAGAUCUCUAUGAGGCUCUAUGGCAUCUCUAUGGGGGCAGGUAGGCAAUAUGGGGCUCUAUGGGACAAUAUAGGGUCUCUAUGGGGUUCUAUGGGGCUCUAUGGGGUAUCUAUGGGGCUCUAUGGGGCUCUAUGGGGUUCGAUGGGGCAGUAUGGGGUCCCUAUGAAGUCUCAAUGGGGUCUAUGGGGAUCUACGGGGUCUAUGGGGCUCUAUGGGGAUCUAUGGGUCUCUAUGGGGCUCUAUGGGGUCUCUAUGGGUGUCUAUGGGGCUCUAUGGGGUGUCUACGGGGCAAUAUGGGGCACUAUAGGGUGUCUAUGGGGCUCUAUGGGGCAAUAUGGGCCACUAUAGGGUGUCUAUGGGGCUCUAUGGGGUGUCUAUGGGUCUCUAUGGGGUAUCUAUGGGUCUCUAUGGGGCUCUAUGGGGUUCUAUGGGGUGUCUAUGGGGUUCUAUGGGGCUCUAUGGGUGUCUAUGGGGCUCUAUGGGGU
This is a long non-coding RNA of Coturnix japonica (Japanese quail), 2083 nucleotides long. NCBI's taxonomy places the organism in Eukaryota, Metazoa, Chordata, Aves, Galliformes, Phasianidae. The record is from Ensembl.